Molecule: small nuclear RNA, 102 nt
Organism: Suncus etruscus (white-toothed pygmy shrew)
Lineage: Eukaryota; Metazoa; Chordata; Mammalia; Eulipotyphla; Soricidae
Source: RefSeq, a predicted model, not a curated record
GUGCUCGCUUUGACAGCACAUAUACUAAACUUGGAACGAUACAGAGAAGAUUAGCAUGGCCCCUGCACAAAGAAAUAUUUGCUAGAAAAUUCAGAAUACUAU